Molecule: ribosomal RNA, 490 nt
Filed under: uncultured bacterium
Lineage: Bacteria
Description: partial 16S ribosomal RNA
Rfam family: Bacterial small subunit ribosomal RNA
Source: RNAcentral
GAUGAACGCUAGCGAUAGGCUAAACACAUGCAAGUCGAGGGGCAGCAUGGUCUUAGCUUGCUAAGGCUGAUGGCGACCGGCGCACGGGUGCGUAACGCGUAUGCAACUUGCCUCACAGAGGGGGAUAACCCGUCGAAAGACGGACUAAUACCGCGUACACUCUAUGUUGGGCAUCCAAUGUAGAGGAAAUGAACUUCGCUGUGAGAUAGGCAUGCGUCCCAUUAGCUAGUUGGUGAGGUAACGGCUCACCAAGGCGACGAUGGGUAGGGGAACUGAGAGGGUGAACCCCCACACUGGUACUGAGACACGGACCAGACUCCUACGGGAGGCAGCAGUGAGGAAUAUUGGUCAAUGGGCGAGAGCCUGAACCAGCCAAGUCGCGUGAAGGAUGACUGUCUUAUGGAUUAUAAACUUCUUUUAUACGGGAAUAACAAGAGUCACGUGUGGCUCCCUGCAUGUACCGUAUGAAUAAGCAUCGGCUAACUCCGUG